Molecule: ribosomal RNA, 301 nt
Filed under: uncultured bacterium
Lineage: Bacteria
Description: partial 16S ribosomal RNA
Rfam family: Bacterial small subunit ribosomal RNA
Source: RNAcentral
CAGCAGCCACGGGAAUACGUAGGGCGCAAGCGUUAUCCGGAAUUAUUGGGCGUAAAGAGCUCGUAGGCGGUUUGUCGCGUCUGCCGUGAAAGUCCGGGGCUCAACCCCGGAUCUGCGGUGGGUACGGGCAGACUAGAGUGAUGUAGGGGAGACUGGAAUUCCUGGUGUAGCGGUGAAAUGCGCAGAUAUCAGGAGGAACACCGGUGGCGAAGGCGGUUCUCUGGGAAUGUUCUGACGCUGAGGAGCGAAAGUGUGGGGAGCGAACAGGAUUAGAUACCCCGGUAGUCCCUGUCUCUUAUAC